RNAcentral lists this ribosomal RNA (127 nucleotides) under Fukomys damarensis (Damara mole-rat). The record is from RNAcentral. Lineage: Eukaryota; Metazoa; Chordata; Mammalia; Rodentia; Bathyergidae.
GGGCUCCUGUAGGCCACACCCUGAACGCACCUUAUCUUGUCCGAUCUUGAAAGCUAAGUGGGGCGGGGCCUGGUUAGUACUUGGAUUGGAGGAAAGUAGAGGGCUCAAUAAACAGGAAAAGAGCCCA